This 59-nucleotide transfer RNA is filed under the name Leucauge celebesiana. Its description in RNAcentral is "tRNA-Cys". Lineage: Eukaryota; Metazoa; Arthropoda; Arachnida; Araneae; Tetragnathidae. The record is from RNAcentral.
AGUAAAUUAGUUUAUUAAAACAUUAAAUUGCAAAUUUAAAAUUUUUUAAGAAAUCAAUU